Dendrobium catenatum is the source of this 1433-nucleotide RNA transcript. It is a transcript of the gene named UPF0678 fatty acid-binding protein-like protein At1g79260, with no coding region annotated. The transcript is spliced from 7 exons. The record is from RefSeq and is a predicted model, not a curated record. Lineage: Eukaryota; Viridiplantae; Streptophyta; Magnoliopsida; Asparagales; Orchidaceae.
AGCAUACCGGAUGGGUAAGGGUAAAAAACCUGAAGAGAGAGAGAAGGAGAGAGAGGAAUGGAAGGAGCGGGCGGUUAUCCUUCUGCAUCUCCGACACCUCCGCUGCUGCACCCCGCCAUUGCUCCUCUCUUCUUUCUGUUGGGGAAAUGGCGAGGUCAGGGAGAAGGCGGGUUUCCCACUAUUAACUCUUUCGCCUACGCAGAAGAAUUGCUCUUCUCCCACUCCGGCAAGCCCGUGAUAGCGUAUAACCAGAAAACUUGGAAGUUAGCUUCUGGAGAGCCGAUGCAUGCCGAGAGCGGAUACUGGCGGCCGAAGGCGGAUGGUUCCAUCGAAGUCGUCAUUGCCCAAAGCACCGGUCUUGUCGAGGUCCAGAAGGGUUCAUACGAUGCUGAAAACAAGAUUAUCAUGCUGCAAAGUGAGCUUGUUGGAAAUGCAUCAAAGGUGAAGGAAAUAACCCGAGCCUUCAAGGUAGUGAAUGACGAGCUAUCAUAUGUUGUUCAGAUGGCAACAAACAUUACCAGUCUUCAGCCUCAUCUUAAAGCUUUGCUCCGGAAGGUUUGAAAUAUUUAUCCAUAUUUAAACUUGAUACACGGGGUGCAAAAAUGAGUCAUGCAACAAGCAUUACUAUUGCUGUAAUUCAAAGUUUUCAUUUCCUGGACAUAUAUGUCACUGGAUUCUUCAAUCCAUUGGAGUUAAGUGCCGUAACCAUAAGACUAAUUUAAAAUCUGAGCAUUGGGAUAGUCGUCCUAUCGAGGAGUCUAUUCCAGCUGGUGUUGAUGCAGCACAGUGGUGUGUCAGCUAGUCACCAAGUUGUCGCAACAAAAAGACAAGGUUAGUACCAUCAUCAUAUUUAAUUAUAUAUAGUUUACAAAUCAACAUGGAGUUAGAUUCAUAUGUAACAGAAGACAGUCUCCAUAAAUGCUACAAAUGCAAAUAAACAGACUUGUCCUCACACUAUAGGGCGUGUGAGUUCUAUUCUCAAGCAACAAUAGAUGGCUAUCAAGGAUAGAUUACUAUUACGGAGAAUGAACAUAUUACACAAAAAUGACACCUGGUCAUCUGAAGAUGCUAAACAGAGAUGGAUAUAAGCUUGCGAUCUUUUGGCUGAGGAUGGCUGACACCAAAGGAUGGGAAUGUGGUGGCUAACAAAAUGGUGUUCAGUAUAGUUAUGGGACAUGAAUACUCAGGCAGAGUCAGAACCCAAUGGUUCGGCGUCACUCAUACACGAUAUUUUUCUCAUAGCAUAAGCGGGGGCAGGAGUAGUGAUGGAAGCAGUUUAAGUCAAAUAGUAAAUCUAAGAGCGGAGGUCAACUCAUUAUGUACUGAAAUGAGGGAAUUCAUGCAACAAUUUCAAAUGCAGCAUCCACCUGAAGGAAGCUCACAAAUGUUAUGUAAAAUUUCACAUUCUAAUUUUAAUGUUGGUCAUUUGAAUA